UUCCUUCUAUUCUUCUCUCUAUACGUUGGUGUUCUAACCAAUAAUCACCGAUACGAUAUUCUGUCCGAUCGAUUCGGGAACCAACUAACGAAUGCCAAAGUGUUGUCUAAAUAAGACUAUACUUUGUGAAUUUCGUUAAAGUUCUGAUCUCGUGACCAUCGUUUGGUUUGAUUGGGUUUAACACUAAUACGUAUUCCACUCUUUUAAACUAAAUGUUUAACUAUCAGAAAACUCCAAACUAUACACUUACAAUCAAACAAGAUGUUUAAUCAUCAGAAGAUUCAGAACUAUAAAGUAGAUGCUUAGUUAUCAGAAGGCAUAGAAUCAGGAGGCUUGUUUAAUCAAAGACUAUAUGCUAACAAGUUAUACUUUGCAGUGAUUAAGUCUUUGCUAAUCUUUAACUACUGGCAGUAUGUGGGGGUUUUGUGCACAUUACUACUAAUGAUUUAUCACUUUAGGUGGGCGAGCCUAAUUAGUGAUAUGUCCACAGUUAUGGAUCCGGUCGAGUGACAACUAAACCAGCUAAUUAUAAGAUAGAGGCAAAUGUGAAAACUCUUAAUGCUGUGAAUUAUAACAAAUGUGUUUUGUACAAAAAGAAUGAACUCACCGGUAUUUCCUGCUGACCAUGUUGGGGCAUCCGUCUGUCGCCUACGUCUUGUAUCGAGUCUAGAUUAGAGUUAGUCAGUUUAGAGCACGGAAUCCAAGAAACUGUAUUUGAAGGUGAUUUCGCUCGAAAUUACAAGAUGUCAUUUCGAGCGAAACCCCUCAACAUGUUGAUUCCGCCCGAAAUGUCAUACACAUGAUUUCGCUCGUAAUGUGAUUCCGCUUGUACGUGUUCGAGCAGAAUCAGGCUGUCUAUAUAUAGCUGUGUCAUUUGGAGCGAAAUCAUAGGUCUAAGUCGUGUCAUUGUCUUCCGGUGAGCCACGAAGUGCUGUCGAAGUGUUGUCAGGCUUGUAAUCGAAUCAUUGAUCAAUAAAAACAACAGAUUAA
Molecule: long non-coding RNA, 990 nt
Filed under: Helianthus annuus (common sunflower)
Lineage: Eukaryota; Viridiplantae; Streptophyta; Magnoliopsida; Asterales; Asteraceae
Description: hypothetical non coding rna
Source: RNAcentral